RNAcentral lists this ribosomal RNA (208 nucleotides) under Escherichia coli. Its description in RNAcentral is "partial 16S ribosomal RNA". It matches the Rfam family "Bacterial small subunit ribosomal RNA", at positions 1 to 215 of the family's 1533-position model. Lineage: Bacteria; Pseudomonadati; Pseudomonadota; Gammaproteobacteria; Enterobacterales; Enterobacteriaceae. The record is from RNAcentral.
AAAUUGAAGAGUUUGAUCAUGGCUCAGAUUGAACGCUGGCGGCAGGCCUAACACAUGCAAGUCGAACGGUAACAGGAAGCAGCUUGCUGCUUCGCUGACGAGUGGCGGACGGGUGAGUAAUGUCUGGGAAACUGCCUGGUGGAGGGGGGAUAACUACUGGAAACGGUAGCUAAUACCGCAUAAUGUCGCAAGACCAAAGAGGGGGACC